CCUACGGGAGGCAGCAGUGAGGAAUAUUGGUCAAUGGUCGGGAGCCUGAACCAGCCAAGCCGCGUGAGGGAGGACGGCACUGCGGAUUGUAAACCUCUUUUGUCAGGGAACAAAGACCGGGACGUGUCCCUGGUUGAGUGUACCUGAAGAAAAAGCAUCGGCUAACUCCGUGCCAGCAGCCGCGGUAAUACGGAGGAUGCGAGCGUUAUCCGGAUUUAUUGGGUUUAAAGGGUGCGUAGGGGGUCUGUUAAGUCAGCGGUAAAAUUUCGGGGCUCAACCCCGGCGCGCCGUUGAAACUGGCAGUCUCGAGUUGGAGAGAGGUAGGCGGAAUGCGCGGUGUAGCGGUGAAAUGCUUAGAUAUCACGCAGAACUCCGAUUGCGAAGGCAGCGUACCGGCUCCACACUGACGCUGAGGCACGAAAGCGUGGGUAUCGAACAGGAUUAGAUACCCGAGUAGUC
This 459-nucleotide ribosomal RNA is filed under the name uncultured bacterium. RNAcentral describes it as "partial 16S ribosomal RNA". It matches the Rfam family "Bacterial small subunit ribosomal RNA", at positions 338 to 795 of the family's 1533-position model. The record is from RNAcentral.